GUCGGCGUGGUGGAAUGGAAGACACAAUGGACUUAAAAUCCAUCGGGAAACCAUGCGGGUUCAAGUCCCGUCGCCGAUA
Molecule: transfer RNA, 79 nt
Filed under: Caudoviricetes sp.
Lineage: Duplodnaviria; Heunggongvirae; Uroviricota; Caudoviricetes
Description: tRNA-Leu
Rfam family: tRNA
About the family: Transfer RNA (tRNA) molecules are approximately 80 nucleotides in length. Their secondary structure includes four short double-helical elements and three loops (D, anti-codon, and T loops). Further hydrogen bonds mediate the characteristic L-shaped molecular structure. tRNAs have two regions of fundamental functional importance: the anti-codon, which is responsible for specific mRNA codon recognition, and the 3' end, to which the tRNAs corresponding amino acid is attached (by aminoacyl-tRNA synthetases). tRNAs cope with the degeneracy of the genetic code in two manners: having more than one tRNA (with a specific anti-codon) for a particular amino acid; and 'wobble' base-pairing, i.e. permitting non-standard base-pairing at the 3rd anti-codon position.
Source: RNAcentral